AGAGCGUCUCGGGGCUGGAGGCGGGGUUGCCUGGGUUCGGGGCCCUUGCCCAGACCCCCGUCGGGCCCGCCAGCUCGAGCUGGAUUGGGAGGGAGGGAAGAGGAAGCUGAGCGUUCCUGGGGCGGAGGACGCGUCUAAGAGUCAACAGCUGCUGGAGCGUGAGCCUUACCCCGGGUUCGCUUUCCCAGCACCUGCCCCUCCUCCGGAGCGCUGGUAGCUCCUCCUCCUCGCACCUGCCCGAAGAUCUCAGGACAGCCCCAGCCCUCCCCAUGCAGAGCCCUCUGCCCAGAGACUUCAGCGCUGCAUUCGUGGAGGCCCUGGCCACAGAAAGGGCAAUGCCAGGAAGCUGGUGAAGG
RNAcentral lists this long non-coding RNA (356 nucleotides) under Physeter macrocephalus (sperm whale). RNAcentral describes it as "Physeter catodon (sperm whale) lncRNA (ENSPCTG00005021198.1)". The record is from RNAcentral. Lineage: Eukaryota; Metazoa; Chordata; Mammalia; Artiodactyla; Physeteridae.